RNAcentral lists this ribosomal RNA (253 nucleotides) under uncultured bacterium. RNAcentral's name for it is "partial 16S ribosomal RNA". It matches the Rfam family "Bacterial small subunit ribosomal RNA", at positions 524 to 776 of the family's 1533-position model. The record is from RNAcentral.
UACGUAGGGUGCAAGCGUUAAUCGGAAUUACUGGGCGUAAAGCGUGCGCAGGCGGUUUUGUAAGUCUGUCGUGAAAGCCCCGGGCUCAACCUGGGAAUUGCGAUGGAGACUGCAAGGCUUGAAUCUGGCAGAGGGGGGUAGAAUUCCACGUGUAGCAGUGAAAUGCGUAGAGAUGUGGAGGAACACCAGUGGCGAAGGCAGCCCCCUGGGUCAAGAUUGACGCUCAUGCACGAAAGCGUGGGGAGCAAACAGG